UACGUAGGGCGCAAGCGUUGUCCGGAAUUAUUGGGCGUAAAGAGCUCGUAGGCGGCUUGUCACGUCGGGUGUGAAAGCCCGGGGCUUAACCCCCGGGUCUGCAUUCGAUACGGGCAGGCUAGAGUGUGGUAGGGGAGAUCGGAAUUCCUGGUGUAGCGGUGAAAUGCGCAGAUAUCAGGAGGAACACCGAUGGCGAAGGCAGAUCUCUGGGCCGUAACUGACGCUGAGGAGCGAAAGCGUGGGGAGCAAACAGG
RNAcentral lists this ribosomal RNA (254 nucleotides) under uncultured bacterium. RNAcentral's name for it is "partial 16S ribosomal RNA". It matches the Rfam family "Bacterial small subunit ribosomal RNA", at positions 524 to 776 of the family's 1533-position model. The record is from RNAcentral.